This 21-nucleotide non-coding RNA is filed under the name Caenorhabditis elegans. Lineage: Eukaryota; Metazoa; Nematoda; Chromadorea; Rhabditida; Rhabditidae. The record is from RNAcentral.
UGCUACGAUCUUCCUUCAAUG